This 506-nucleotide ribosomal RNA is filed under the name uncultured bacterium. Its description in RNAcentral is "partial 16S ribosomal RNA". It matches the Rfam family "Bacterial small subunit ribosomal RNA", at positions 29 to 523 of the family's 1533-position model. The record is from RNAcentral.
AGUGAACGCUGGCGGUAGGCCUAACACAUGCAAGUCGAACGGCAGCACAGAGGAGCUUGCUCAUUGGGUGGCGAGUGGCGGACGGGUGAGGAAUACAUCGGAAUCUACUCUGUCGUGGGGGAUAACGUAGGGAAACUUACGCUAAUACCGCAUACGACCUACGUGUGAAAGAAGGGGAUCUUCGGACCUUGCGCGAUUGAAUGCGCCGAUGUCGGUGUAGCUAGUUGGCGGGGGAAAGGCCCACCAAGGCGACGAUCCGUAGCUGGUCUGAGAGCAUUAUCAGCCACACUGGGCUUGAGACACGGUCCAGACUCCGACGGGAGGCAGGAGUGGGGGAUAUUGGUCAAUGGGCGCAAGCCUGAUCCAGCCAUACCGCGUGGGUGAAGAAGGCCUUCGGGUUGUAAAGCCCUUUUGUUGGGAAAGAAAUCCAUCUGGUUAAUACCCGGGUGGGAUGACGGUACCCAAAGAAUAAGCACCGGCUAACUUCGUGCCAGCAGCCGCCGUAA